GCCCAAGUGGCGCGAUGGGUCAGUGUGCCUAGCUGUUAACCAGAAGAUUGGUGGUUCGAACCCACUCAGGGACA
Podarcis lilfordi (Lilford's wall lizard) is the source of this 74-nucleotide non-coding RNA. NCBI's taxonomy places the organism in Eukaryota, Metazoa, Chordata, Lepidosauria, Squamata, Lacertidae. The record is from the annotation of a GenBank genome assembly.